GCCCAGAUGGCGGAAUUGGUAGACGCACUAGUUUCAGGGACUAGCGGUCGCAAGGCUGUGCAGGUUCGAGUCCUGUUCUGGGCA
This 84-nucleotide transfer RNA is filed under the name Prevotellaceae bacterium. Its description in RNAcentral is "tRNA-Leu". It matches the Rfam family "tRNA". From Rfam's summary of the family: Transfer RNA (tRNA) molecules are approximately 80 nucleotides in length. The record is from RNAcentral. Lineage: Bacteria; Pseudomonadati; Bacteroidota; Bacteroidia; Bacteroidales; Prevotellaceae.